RNAcentral lists this ribosomal RNA (253 nucleotides) under uncultured bacterium. RNAcentral's name for it is "partial 16S ribosomal RNA". It matches the Rfam family "Bacterial small subunit ribosomal RNA", at positions 524 to 776 of the family's 1533-position model. The record is from RNAcentral.
UACAGAGGUCCCGAGCGUUGUUCGGAAUUACUGGGCGUAAAGGGCUCGUAGGCGGCCAACUAAGUCAGACGUGAAAUCCCCAGGCUCAACCUGGGAACUGCGUCUGAUACUGGAUGGCUUGAAUCCGGGAGAGGGAUGCAGAAUUCCAGGUGUAGCGGUGAAAUGCGUAGAUAUCUGGAGGAAUACCGGUGGCGAAGGCGGCAUCCUGGACCGGCAUUGACGCUGAGGAGCGAAAGCUAGGGGAGCAAACGGG